GUCCACGCCUAACGAUGUCAACUGGUUGUUGGGAGGGUUUCUUCUCAGUAACGAAGCUAACGCGUGAAGUUGACCGCCUGGGAGUACGGCCGCAAGGUUGAACUCAAGGAAUUGACGGGACCCGCACAAGCGGUGGAUGAUGUGGUUUAAUUCGAUGCAACGCGAAACCUUAACCUACCCUUGACAUGUCAGAGAUCCUGUAGAGAUAUGGGAGUGCUCGCAAGAGAAUCUGAACACAGGUGCUGCAUGGCCGUCGU
Molecule: ribosomal RNA, 257 nt
Filed under: uncultured bacterium
Lineage: Bacteria
Description: partial 16S ribosomal RNA
Rfam family: Bacterial small subunit ribosomal RNA
Source: RNAcentral